This 216-nucleotide unclassified non-coding RNA is filed under the name Hevea brasiliensis (rubber tree). Lineage: Eukaryota; Viridiplantae; Streptophyta; Magnoliopsida; Malpighiales; Euphorbiaceae. The record is from RNAcentral.
AGGGAAGAAGGGAAUGAAAGGAAGUAGAAGCGGAUGUGGAUUUGGAUUAUGGAAUAACAAAUUCGUUCAAAAUUGAUGAGACUACAACUUUUGAUAAGGAGUCGGAGAUUGAUGUAUAUUUGUUGGAAUCCCUUGUUCCAACUGAUAGUAAUUUUGACAUACUUUAUUGGUGGAAGCAGAAUGAACAUCGAUUUGAGGUUCUUAGUCACAUUAGUA